UACAGAGGUGGCAAGCAUUGUUCGGAAUUACUGGGCGUAAAGGGCGCGUAGGCGGUUCGUUAAGUCCUGUGUGAAAUCCCCCGGCUCAACUGGGGAACUGCACAGGAAACUAGCGGGCUUGAGUUCGGGAGAGGGAAGCGGAAUUCCGGGUGUAGCGGUGAAAUGCGUAGAUAUCCGGAGGAACACCGGUGGCGAAGGCGGCUUCCUGGACCAACACUGACGCUGAGGCGCGAAAGCUAGGGGAGCAAACGGG
RNAcentral lists this ribosomal RNA (253 nucleotides) under uncultured bacterium. RNAcentral's name for it is "partial 16S ribosomal RNA". It matches the Rfam family "Bacterial small subunit ribosomal RNA", at positions 524 to 776 of the family's 1533-position model. The record is from RNAcentral.